UUUUAGUUCAGAACAAAAAUAUUUUUUAUAUAUAAAAUUCUGAAAAUGAAAGAUUUGUUUUUUUAAAGAACAUUUCGCUAAAAGACGGGUCUAUGAAAGAUUAGGUAGUUGGUGAUUUUAACAGCUCCCCAAGCCUAUGAUCUUUAGUUGGUUUUAGCGGACGACCAACCACACUGGAACUGAAACAAGGUCCAGGCUAAUUUUUUGGCCAGCAGUGAGGAAUAUUGGACAAUGAACGAAAGUUUGAUCCAGCAAUACUAUGUGGAUGAAGACGGCUUUUGUAGUUGUAAAGUUCUUUCAUUAAAAAUGAUAGUGACUUAUUUAAAGAAGUUUAGUCCCGGCUAAUACUCGUGCCAGCAGCCGCGGUAAUACGGGAGGGGCAAGCGUUAUUCGGCAUAACUGGGCGUAAAGCGUUCGUAGACUGUAAAUUAAGUUACUUGUUAAAGUUUAAAGCUUAACUUUAAAUUAGCUUGUAAAACUGGUUUGCUUGUGCUUUAUACAGAAGAGUAGAAUUUUAUACGAAAAGGUAAAAUUUUAAGAUAUAUAAAAGAAUGCCAUUAGCGAAGGCGACUCUUUAGUAAAAACUGACGUUGAGGAACGAAAGUAUAGGUAGCAAACAGGAUUAGAUACCCUGGUAGUCUAUACUGUAAAUAAUGAAUGCUGUAAUUUAAUAUAGAAUUUUUUUUUCUUUUUUAGAUUUUUAAGUUAACGCUAUAAGCAUUCCGCCUGAGGAGUAUGAUCGCAAGAUUGGAACUCAAAGGAAUUGACGGGGGCUAAUACUAGUGGUGGAGCAUGUGGUUUAAUGCGAUAAUCCGCGCAAAAC
This 823-nucleotide ribosomal RNA is filed under the name uncultured marine organism. Its description in RNAcentral is "partial small subunit ribosomal RNA". It matches the Rfam family "Bacterial small subunit ribosomal RNA", at positions 131 to 969 of the family's 1533-position model. The record is from RNAcentral.